Molecule: ribosomal RNA, 253 nt
Filed under: uncultured bacterium
Lineage: Bacteria
Description: partial 16S ribosomal RNA
Rfam family: Bacterial small subunit ribosomal RNA
Source: RNAcentral
UACGUAGGCAGCAAGCGUUGUUCAGAAUUACUGGGCGUAAAGAGUGUGUAGGCGGUGCUCUAAGUUCGGUGUGAAAUCUCCCGGCUCAACUGGGAGGGUGCGCCGAAAACUGGAGUGCUGGAGCGCGGGAGAGGAAAGCGGAAUUCCUGGUGUAGCGGUGAAAUGCGUAGAUAUCAGGAGGAACACCGGUGGUGUAAACGGCUUUCUGGACCAUAACUGACGCUGAGGCACGAAAGCGUGGGUAGCAAACAGG